GAUGAACGCUAGCGGCAGGCUUAACACAUGCAAGUCGAGGGGUAUUAGGAGCUUGCUCCUAAGAGACCGGCGCACGGGUGCGUAACGCGUAUGCAACCUACCUUGAACAGGGGGAUAGCCCAGAGAAAUUUGGAUUAAUACCCCAUGGUAUAUUAGAAUGGCAUCAUUUUAUUAUUAAAGUCACAACGGUUCAAGAUGGGCAUGCGUCCCAUUAGCUAGAUGGUAAGGUAACGGCUUACCAUGGCUACGAUGGGUAGGGGUCCUGAGAGGGAGAUCCCCCACACUGGUACUGAGACACGGACCAGACUCCUACGGGAGGCAGCAGUGAGGAAUAUUGGUCAAUGGGCGCAAGCCUGAACCAGCCAUGCCGCGUGCAGGAUGAAGCAUCUAUGGUGUGUAAACUGCUUUUAUACGGGAAGAAACCCUGCCACGUGUGGCAGAUUGACGGUACCGUAGGAAUAAGGAUCGGCUAACUCCGUGCCAGCAGCCGCCGCAG
RNAcentral lists this ribosomal RNA (496 nucleotides) under uncultured bacterium. RNAcentral describes it as "partial 16S ribosomal RNA". It matches the Rfam family "Bacterial small subunit ribosomal RNA", at positions 28 to 523 of the family's 1533-position model. The record is from RNAcentral.